CCUACGGGAGGCAGCAGUGGGGAAUAUUGGGCAAUGGACGCAAGCCUGACCCAGCAACGCCGCGUGAAUGAAGAAGGCUUUCGGGUUGUAAACUUCUUUUCUCAGGGACGAAGCCAGUGACGGUACCUCAAUAGUAAGCCACGGCUAACUACGUGCCAGCAGCCGCGGUAAUACGUAGGUGGCAAGCGUUAUCCGGAUUUACUGGGUGUAAAGGGCGCGUAGGUGGGUCUGUAAGUCAGAGGUGGAAUUCCCGGGCUCAACCUGUGGGCUGCAGUUGAAACUAUCAGACUUGAGUACUGGAGAGGUAAGUGGAAUUCCUAGUGUAGCGGUGAAAUGCGUAGAUAUUAGGAGGAACACCAGUGGCGAAGGCGGCUUGCUGGACAGCAACUGACACUGAGGCGCGAAAGCGUGGGGAGCAAACAGGAUUAGAUACCCCUGUAGUC
RNAcentral lists this ribosomal RNA (443 nucleotides) under uncultured bacterium. RNAcentral describes it as "partial 16S ribosomal RNA". It matches the Rfam family "Bacterial small subunit ribosomal RNA", at positions 338 to 795 of the family's 1533-position model. The record is from RNAcentral.